GUUUGCUGUGCGGGUCUCCCCCCACCCUGCCUUGCUGGGCCUGCUUACAGGGGAUUCCCCCUCUCUCCCUGCGUUUCUCCUCCUCCCUUGCAGUUCCUGGCAGCCUCCAGGUGAAGAGGAAGAAGGUGGAGGUCGCCGCUGCCCCCUCCUCUGCCAGGAUGCAGGAGUCCCCCUCCCCGGGGAGGGCUGAAGCCCCCCCGCUCCCCCUGACGCAGGAAGCCCCGAAGGCCACCUGGUCCCUUUCAGCGAGAGCCAGCAGGCAAGGCUACCAGCCUGAGCUGAGGGGGCCUGUGGAGGAGGCGCCCACGCUGGUAGAGCGCUUGAGCCUGGUGAAAACGGUCCAAGCUGUGGUCUCGGUCACCCCAGAGAGCCCCUCGUCCCCCAGCCCCUCCAGGGGCUUUAAGAGCAGAGGGGAGCACUGUAGCCCCCGGCCUUGGCUGCCCCUGCGGGUGUUGGGCUCCGUGAUGCCUUUCAAGCCCCGGAGUUGGAAGGGAGCGUUGGAGGGAGGUCGGGCGGAGGGAGAAAGGAGGCCUCUGGGGCAGCCGGGGGGCGGGCGGUGCUGAGGAUGGGACUUUUGCCAGCAUGAAAUCAUUUGCAAGUUUAGAAAAUGUUGACCCGGCCACGGCUUCCUUCCCCAAGCCCCCUACAGGUGGGGCUGGCCCAUGGCAGGCCUGUAAAGGAAGCCCCCGUGGACAGGUUCUUGAGAUGGCCACAGACUCCGUGGCCAGUGCCCCGUGGCACCUGCCCCGCAUGUGACUUCACCUCCUCCGCUCUCUGCCACCAGGAGCCUUUCAAAGGAGGGCCGGCCUGGGGCUCUGGGCUCCCGGUGGAGGUGGCAGUCCUGGGUGGCCUUUGCGGGGAGGAGUGGGGGGGUGGGGGUGGGUGAAAGGGAGCCCACCCGGCCUCUUCUGAUGUCUGGCGCCCAGAGCGUGGUCUUCAGGGAACCGGUGUCAGUGCAGCCGAGCCAGGCAUCCAUGCCCUCCACCUCGCGUUCGAAGAGCCCCCAGCCGUCGGCCAUCGUCAAAGGCUUCUUUCCGGAGAGGCCCAGCAGCCCACAGGGGUCUCGUGCGGAGCUCAAGAGCCGGAGUCUCCAGCUGCCCAGAAUAUACUCCGGCUUCAUCCCCAACUCUGUGGUCGUCCAGCAGCUUCACCCCAGCUUCACGGAGACAGAGGAUCUGGUGAAGGUGAUCGAGCCCCAGGAGGUGUCGGCGAGCUCCUCGAAGGCCAGUUUGAUGGGGACAUUUGAUGAGGGUGAGCUGCCCAAGGAAGAACUGUGGCCGGUGGGCCUGGCGACCACCUCCAAGUCCCGGAUCAUGCCAGCCAAGGAAGGUGCCCCCUCCACAAAGCAGAGCGUGCCUGGGGUCUUCCUGACUCAGCUGGAUGAGUCCCAGUAUCCAGAGCCACAGGUGAUGAUGCCGGUGUUUGUUUGGCCCUUCAUGGACCAAGAGUGGUUCCAGGAACUUUUCCCAGAGGUGAGAGGGGCCCCUGGAGACCCAAGGACACCAAGGGAGCCUUGCCCCCACAUCGUUUGCUUUCCAUUCCCCCUCCCCCCAUCUUUCUUGGGGAUGGGCUGGCCUUGGGGCUGUCUUGGGUUUGUGACCUCCAUUGAUAGAAAAGGGGGCACGAUGGCUCAGUGGUUAAAGGCAAAAGCCGACCGCCCAGGUUGAAGACCCAAGUACCGCAUGAAAGGGUGAGCUCCUGUUGCUGGCUCCAGCUCCUGCCCACCUAACAGUUGGAGGGCAUGCAAAUGUGAGUAGAUAAAUAGGUACCACUUUGGUGGGAAGGUAACAAUGUUCUGUGCGCCUCGGUAUAUGGCCAUGCUGGCCACAUGGCCACUGAAGCCUCUUCUCAGCUGGGGGAUGGAGAGGAGCCCCUCCCUCUAGAGCCACGUGCCCCUGGCAGGAGAAACCUUUGCCUUUAUAAGAAUUGCACCCAUUGGGGCUCAACCUUGAGGCGACCCCAGUCCCGUUCCAGAUACUGAAGAGCAAGUCGCCAAUGACCUCUCAACCUGUGUACAAACCAUGGCGAUGUUGGCUUGUUACACUGGACUAGAAACCAGGCAGCCUAAGGCUAGCCCCAUAUGCAGUGUGGAUCAUGUGGAUCAAGGGCUGGAAGGGGCCCGAGUGGUCAAAGGGAUGGAGUCCGGGGGUUGGGCUGGCUGAGGUGGGAAGCCAAUGCAUCCUUCCCUUUAUGAAUGUGGGGGGUGCCCCCCCUCGCCUGCCUUUCAUUAACAUGCUGGCAUGGGGCCGGGUUGCCUUCCUGAUUGCCCGUCCAAGCAGAAGAGGUCUGUUCUAGGCCCCCUCUCUAGGCGGUGGGCCUUCCUCUGCAACGUCAUCCCCCCAGGUGAGCUUCGCCCCAGCCGCCUCCU
This 2368-nucleotide long non-coding RNA is filed under the name Naja naja (Indian cobra). RNAcentral describes it as "lncRNA (ENSNNAG00000001927.1)". The record is from RNAcentral. Lineage: Eukaryota; Metazoa; Chordata; Lepidosauria; Squamata; Elapidae.